RNAcentral lists this ribosomal RNA (232 nucleotides) under uncultured bacterium. RNAcentral's name for it is "partial 16S ribosomal RNA". It matches the Rfam family "Bacterial small subunit ribosomal RNA", at positions 100 to 334 of the family's 1533-position model. The record is from RNAcentral.
CGGGACGGGUGAGUAAUGUCUGGGAAACUGCCCGAUGGAGGGGGAUAACUACUGGAAACGGUAGCUAAUACCGCAUAACGUCGCAAGACCAAGAGGGGGACCUUCGGGCCUCUUGCCAUCGGAUGUGCCCAGAUGGGAUUAGCUAGUAGGUGGGGUAAUGGCUCACCUAGGCGACGAUCCCUAGCUGGUCUGAGAGGAUGACCAGCCACACUGGAACUGAGACACGGUCCAG